This 67-nucleotide transfer RNA is filed under the name Parathyginus sp. Its description in RNAcentral is "tRNA-Ile". The record is from RNAcentral. Lineage: Eukaryota; Metazoa; Arthropoda; Insecta; Hemiptera; Heterogastridae.
AAUAAGAUGCCUGAUUAAAGGGUUAUCUUGAUAGGAUAAAUUAAGUAAUUCAUUAUUACUCUUAUUA